This is a non-coding RNA of Brassica napus (rape), 216 nucleotides long. NCBI's taxonomy places the organism in Eukaryota, Viridiplantae, Streptophyta, Magnoliopsida, Brassicales, Brassicaceae. The record is from Rfam.
ACGACCUUACUUGAACAGGAUCUGUUCUAUAGGAAGUACUUCUGUAUCCUUGAUUUCUAAGGAGACAGGCCCGAUAACCUGGUUGAUGAUUCAUGUCCGUGCGAUCUGAGUGUGAUUAACGGCUACGACACUCCUCGGAGUGUCCGCGCUGUAGAGGAUCGCUACCUAGCCUGGUCUUGACCUCGCUAGGGUGGUCGCACGGUUGUCUGACAGGCU